CUUGACAAAAUAUAAGAGGUCCAGCCUGCCCAGUGACCUAGUUCAACGGCCGCGGUAUCCUAACCGUGCGAAGGUAGCGUAAUCACUUGUUCUUUAAAUGAGGACUAGUAUGAAUGGCACCACGAGGGUUAAACUGUCUCCUUUUUCUAAUCAGUGAAACUAAUCUCUCCGUGAAGAAGCGGGGAUUAUUUUAUAAGACGAGAAGACCCUAUGGAGCUUAAAACAAAUUAACACCUACUUCUACUCAGUUCACUUCCUGAAUAAACACAUAAAGUAUAGUACCACUGAUUAAUAGUUUUCGAUUGGGGUGAUCAUGGAGUAAAAAAUAGCCUCCACGACGAAAAGGAACACCUCCCUGAGCCAAAAGCUACAACUUUAAGCACUAAAAAAUUAACGCACCUUGACCCAAAUUUUUGAACAACGAAC
This 426-nucleotide ribosomal RNA is filed under the name Boana lanciformis group sp. ABGD cluster 60. RNAcentral's name for it is "partial large subunit ribosomal RNA". It matches the Rfam family "Bacterial large subunit ribosomal RNA", at positions 1834 to 2447 of the family's 2925-position model. The record is from RNAcentral. Lineage: Eukaryota; Metazoa; Chordata; Amphibia; Anura; Hylidae.